RNAcentral lists this ribosomal RNA (253 nucleotides) under uncultured bacterium. RNAcentral's name for it is "partial 16S ribosomal RNA". It matches the Rfam family "Bacterial small subunit ribosomal RNA", at positions 524 to 776 of the family's 1533-position model. The record is from RNAcentral.
UACGAAGGGUGCUAGCGUUGUUCGGAAUUACUGGGCGUAAAGCGCUCGCAGGUGGUUCGUCGCGUCGUGCGUGAAAGACCCCGGCUCAACUGGGGGGUGUCGUGCGAUACGGGCGGACUGGAGGCCAGUAGGGGGAUGCGGAAUUCCGGGUGUAGUGGUGGAAUGCGUAGAGAUCUGGAGGAACACCAGCGGCGAAGGCGGCAUCCUGGACUGGUCCUGACACUCAGGAGCGAAAGCGUGGGGAGCGAUCCGG